AGGGUCAUUCUGCUCAGCAGGAGAGCUGGCCUGGGGUCUGUCUCUAGCUUCAUAUACCUACUUCUGAUUUGCUGUGUGCAUGGCUAAAAUUGCUUCCAGGAGUUCCCCAGUGGCAUUUCAGGCUUAAGGGGAUAGGGGAAUGGAGGAAAGAGGGACGGGGGUAUCUCCAACACAGGGGCCGCAGGCUUUUCAUGCAAAGGGUCUGAUGCAGCAGCCUUAUCCUGCAGCACCGACCUACCAUGGGAAGCGGAAGCUGGGGGUGGCAGCAGAGUCUGUUCGCAGCUCUGGUCUGACGGCGGCCCUGGCAGCCCAGCAGUAGCACUGAACACCCUCUGAGUCCUCCAGGUUCUCUGAGCUAUCUGCGUUGAUGCUCAACAGAAGACGCCGGCAUUCCUUUAAUGAAAAAGCUGGCAGAACUGCCUGGGAAGAGGACAGGCCACAGGGGCCCAGAGUGAUGUGCGAGCAGAGCACAGACAGCGGCAGGGCAGCCAGCUGGCCCACUGCCAGGGCAGCAGCUUCCAGAGCAGUCCAAUGUGGUACCUGUGGACUGGGCCUCCAAAUAGGGAUGGACAAGAUGGCCCCAGCCGUCAUGGACUCCAGGUGUGAAUCUCCUGCUUUCCGAGUGCGUGCAAAUGUGUUUGGCGAGCACUUCCUCUGGGGAGGCUCUCCUCCACCAGCACCCAUUCCUUGGAGGGGCCAUUCAGUGCUGGUGCUGUCCUCACACGCUGAUCCCUGACCGACCUGAGCC
RNAcentral lists this long non-coding RNA (748 nucleotides) under Canis lupus familiaris (dog). Its description in RNAcentral is "lncRNA (ENSCAFG00040010858.1)". Lineage: Eukaryota; Metazoa; Chordata; Mammalia; Carnivora; Canidae. The record is from RNAcentral.